AUUCUGAACAGCAAUGCUCAUCACAUAAACAUGAAGUUUCCUCCAAAAGGAAUGAUGACUAAUGCUUUGAGGAAACAGCAGACGUCAGACAGCAAGCCCAGAAAAACCUGCCAGCACCAAGAGGGUGUCCUCAACAGGCGCCUGGGGGACAUAUUAUUCUAACUAAAGAGACCAGAGCUUCCCCAGGAAGGGAAGAGGAGAGAAAUGAAGAACGUCUGUGUUCAUGUUUGCCAAAAACAAAAGUCUGAGAAAUCUCUGAGAGACUCUACAUGGGAGGGCACUAAUCGAAGCACCUCAUUUAAAGUGAGAAAAGCUUUGCUAAGGGCAGAUGAUUCAGCACGGUAUCCUUCGAUGAGUACUGUCAUCUCAAAUCCUUUUUAAGAACAUCAAGCACAAAUGAUGAUCUCCUAGGACAGUGGCAGCUUCUGAGAAUGCACAGGAAAGUGACCAGGGAAAGAAUGAUUCCAUCUCCAGGAAUCCCUGGUGAUCUUCAGAGCCCAGACAGGACCCUGCUGGGCCAUGGUAACUGAGAAACUGAGAAGCAGAUACAGUGGUCCCUAUGUUGGCAACCUCAGCUGAAGAGGAACAACUCUCUCUAUAAUCAAGGACUUCUGAAACCAGAAAUCACCAGCGUGGGGAGAGAACAUUAAAGGCAGAGGUGUCUCUUAUAAGCACAACGUGUGACCAGAACUUGGAUUACUGUCAGCUUCUAGUGUCUCCAUCAUUCAUAAUUGCACUGUGUUGGUCCACCCACUUUACUCCUAAAGAAGAGGUAAGAAACAGAAGAGGAGAUCACAGUGGCUCUUCAACUAUUAAUAUACCACAGACUUCAAUAACAAAUGAAGAGAAACAAGAAAAGAAAGCAAUGCAAAAAGAACGGUACUGCCCUCUUUCUCUCCUGAACCAUCAAUAAAUCAAGGGUAGAUAA
Long non-coding RNA from Homo sapiens (human), 928 nucleotides. Ensembl annotates it as SOX5 antisense RNA 1. Its record names the gene SOX5-AS1. The record is from Ensembl. Lineage: Eukaryota; Metazoa; Chordata; Mammalia; Primates; Hominidae.